UCUGAAGGUGUUUAGUUCAAGAGUUUCCAUUUUCAUAUUAAGUUUCUAUCUCCAUACCUAGUGGGAUGAAGAUGGUGGUGUAUGGAUUUUCUCUCUUACAACAUUUUUUGUCCCUUAUCUAUACAUCUUUCCCCUAAAUAUUCAGUAAGAUUUGAAGCUGUUAAAAAAUCCUAAACUUCUCCAACUGUAGGAAAGAUAACUGGAAUAUUAUUUUAAGAGCAAAUACAUGUACAUUCCUAAUGUUGCUCGAAUGGGAAUUAUCAAGAAGAAGAAGAAGAAGAAGAAAAAAAAAAAAGGAAAACAAACCCAUGAGAGUUUGGGUUGCUAUUUCUGACCAAGUUUGAAUUGGGAAAUACCAGGAGUCCCAUAGGAAAUCUUAUCUCACCGGAAGACGAUCAUGGUCUCUUGGCCAAAGAAUGGGUGAGACACACCUCAAAUGACAGAAUCCCACAUCAAGCUUUCUCUCCUGGGGAGUUAACCCCCCUGGGGCUAACCCUUCACAAAGGCGGGAUGGAAGCCAGUGGAAAAGUACCCAGCUUUUCCUCCUUUACCUACUGUUCAGAGAUCCCAGAAGAAUCAAACCCUGGUGUCUGCAGCAGUGAGCCUGUGUGUUUCCUUAUCUCGGCUUUUCCUCCUUCUCUGGAUCAUCUCCCAAACAAGCAAAUCAUGCAUCUAAGUCCUUGUACUUAGGCUCUGCUUCUGGGGAGACGCAAAAUAAAACAGUUAAAAAA
This 731-nucleotide long non-coding RNA is filed under the name Homo sapiens (human). RNAcentral's name for it is "HSALNT0387187". The record is from RNAcentral. Lineage: Eukaryota; Metazoa; Chordata; Mammalia; Primates; Hominidae.